UUAAGUUCAGCGGGUCUUCCUACCUGAUUUGAGGUCAAGUUUCGAUGAAUUGUCCUGUUCGGACGGUUUGAAGCACAUCCCACAAGAAGCGGGUACAGCACACGGCGUAGAUAAUUAUCACACCGAGGGUACAUCCGCAACGAGACGCACUAAUGCAUUUGAGAGGAGCCGGAACAAAGCCGGCAAAGCCUCCAAGUCCA
Molecule: unclassified non-coding RNA, 200 nt
Filed under: Agaricomycetes sp.
Lineage: Eukaryota; Fungi; Basidiomycota; Agaricomycetes
Description: partial internal transcribed spacer 2
Source: RNAcentral